AGGACGAGCGCUGGCGGCGUGCUUAACACAUGCAAGUCGAGCGGAAAGGCCCUUCGGGGUACUCGAGCGGCGAACGGGUGAGUAACACGUGAGCAACCUGCCCUUAGCUCCGGGAUAGCUCCGGGAAACCGGAUUAAUACCGGAUACAACCACGGCCGACAUCUGCUGUGGUGGAAAGGAUUCCGGCUAAGGAUGGGCUCGCGGCCUAUCAGCUAGUUGGUGGAGUAACGGCCCACCAAGGCGACGACGGGUA
RNAcentral lists this ribosomal RNA (253 nucleotides) under uncultured bacterium. Its description in RNAcentral is "partial small subunit ribosomal RNA". It matches the Rfam family "Bacterial small subunit ribosomal RNA", at positions 26 to 285 of the family's 1533-position model. The record is from RNAcentral.